Long non-coding RNA from Uranotaenia lowii, 1376 nucleotides. RefSeq lists it as uncharacterized. The transcript has 3 exons. NCBI's taxonomy places the organism in Eukaryota, Metazoa, Arthropoda, Insecta, Diptera, Culicidae. The record is from RefSeq and is a predicted model, not a curated record.
UUGCACCUAAUCCUUAAUUGUACUGAAAUUGAAAUUAGACGUAAAUCCUGAACCCCAUUCAGCACAACAAUCUAAAUAUGUUUUUACGAAAAGUUUGUUUUAUUCGUUUACAAUAAUUCAAGUGCAUUACAUCAGUAUGAUUUGUUAGCAGUCAUUUUAGUACAGCGGCUCCAACAGUGAGCAGCGGCACGAACAGAUUUGACAAAUAUUUGAAGGCGAUUGUUUUCAUUUUGUUUGUUUACCUUUGCAGGAAAAUUUUUCGUUUAAAAUUUGAAAGAAAUGUGUAGUUUUUUGAAAAUUUGUUGCCGUCCGACCCUGUUUGAUGCAGUCUCGUCUGACAGAAAGUCGAGGAACCCGUGGAACCAUCCGGAUAAAGCUGCUGUCAUCAUGUGUUGCUGGCCCGGCUGUUUUAAGCAGUCACUAGUUUUCGAAUUGUCGAGAUCCAUUGGUCAGAGGCCAUCAGUAGUGGGUCGCAGGAUGAAUUAAGUCCGCUCCAAUUGUUCACCAACAAAUUGCUUGUAAUUCUUAUAAGCAUAUACCAGCAACGGUAAAACUUCGACAGAGAAUUGUUCAGGCCAUCCGGUUCGCACUACUUUGGCUGGCACUUCAAAAAUCUUGAUUAACACACUUUCGGGUGCAGUCGAAAUUUCGUUCACCAUGUACAUGUAAGUUAAUAUUAGAAAUAUUUUUUUAGUUUUACACCAUCUCGUGGUGUUUGGGAGAUUUGAGUCAUGUUUCAAAACUCCCAAACAAAAUGACAGGCCUGAAACUACAGCUACCAAAACAAGCUUCCCAAUAAUGUUUCCCAAUUCCCAAAGGUUCCCAAUAAUGUGCAUAUAAACCAAGAAUUCAACAUCAAAUAGUGAAUAAAGAAUUUAGCAUUCAUAAUUUAAUAAAAGUGAAUAAACUUUUACGAGAACUUGGAUAGAACUUGAACUUUAUUUUCUAAAACCAUUGAUUUUUUUUUCUUCCACAGGUAGUGUUAGUAAUCAUCAUGAACGACUGUGUGUUGAUGAUACCGGCUCAAAUUGGCACAGCGAUGGUAUCUUUAAAUUUAUCGCCAUUCAACUCAAAACUCGUCGAUUGUUAAAACUGAUCAAACUGCUCCAAUACCUUGUUGGAUGAAAUUUCGAAACAUCAGUUAUGGUUAACUUGCAUCCGAAGUUGCAAAAGAAGCAAUAAACGGUUAAAAGAAUUUCAAAUCGGUGCCGGGUAGCCGUGUUAGCAACGAUGACAAAUAGGCAACAACCUACUGUCUCUCAGGUAUCAGAUCUGGGUACACAGGAAACAGCCCUUGAUAGCCAGUGCUGUUUCCGACUCAGUGAACAAAGGUUGUGCCUUUUAGGUAAUAUUUUUUUUAUUACCAUUCUAUAUUA